This 253-nucleotide ribosomal RNA is filed under the name uncultured bacterium. Its description in RNAcentral is "partial 16S ribosomal RNA". It matches the Rfam family "Bacterial small subunit ribosomal RNA", at positions 524 to 776 of the family's 1533-position model. The record is from RNAcentral.
UACAGAGGGUGCGAGCGUUAAUCGGAAUUACUGGGCGUAAAGCGUGCGUAGACGGUUAUUUAAGUCGGAUGUGAAAGCCCCGGGCUCAACCUGGGAAUUGCAUUCGAGACUGAAUAGCUAGGGUGCGGUAGAGGGAAGCGGAAUUCCCGGUGUAGCGGUGAAAUGUGUAGAGAUCGGGAGGAACACCGGUGGCGAAGGCGGCCUUCUGGACGGUGACUGACGCUGAGGCGCGAAAGCGUGGGGAGCAAACGGG